Molecule: non-coding RNA, 76 nt
Organism: Cordylochernes scorpioides
Lineage: Eukaryota; Metazoa; Arthropoda; Arachnida; Pseudoscorpiones; Chernetidae
Source: the annotation of a GenBank genome assembly
UGUCCAGGGAUGGGAAUCGAACCCACAUUGUUCCGCUUACUGGGCAGAUACCAUGUCCACUUUCACAUCCCUGGAC